Molecule: long non-coding RNA, 821 nt
Organism: Rhagoletis zephyria (snowberry fruit fly)
Lineage: Eukaryota; Metazoa; Arthropoda; Insecta; Diptera; Tephritidae
Source: RefSeq, a predicted model, not a curated record
CUAACCGCCAAAAUAACGUAAGCGACAUUUAUUUCAAAAUUUUAUUUUGGCGGUUAGGGCUCGAUAUGUAUUACGAAAUAACGAAAUGAAUUAUGAAAUAUGUACGUACGCCCCGCUCCACAUGUAUAGGCAUGUGUUUUCUUCAAAAAUUAAGCUUCCAUCGGCAUUUGUAGGCACCUGAAAGCUUCAAUUUAUUUUCUUCUUGAAGAAUAACCAAAUCUGAAGAAAACUCGAUAGGGAAGUUGGUAAAAAAAGGUUACCUUCUCUUUUCAUAGUAAUAUUAUGCGGCUUACGAAAAAAUGCUUGUUUUUCAUUCAUUUGAACAGUGCACAGUGACUUAAUUAAAAUAUAAGGAAAAACAAGGAGAUUGCAGAUCGUUUAAUGAAUUGCCUGAUAAGUACAUUUUGUAAACUAACCUUCGCCAUACGUUUUCCAUCUAAUUUAGAGUGGCUCGUUUUUGAAACACCUAUGGCACAAAUCGGUUAAAUUCGUUGGAGCCAUCAAAAGCAUGUAUGUCUAAUGUGACCAACUAUUUCAUAGCUGGAAGAAGUACAGGUUUAACCCACGUUCAAGUGGUUGCCCCAGGCCCCCAGGAACACACUUAGAUAAUUAAGUGAUUGUCCCUUGUAAUGCCACUGAACGGAGAACCUCGAUUUAGUCGACGAAACGCCGAGAGCCGAUUACCAAAUUUCGAAUGCGCCUAAUUUCGAUCCCUGAGAGCUCAGUGUUAGUUAAGAAGUGCGAGUCGAAAUGCUUCCCUCUUAGGCCGAGGCCACGCAAUGAGCGGCAAAGCGGCGAGCGGCUGAGCCGCUUAAUUAAAA